This is a non-coding RNA of Plutella xylostella (diamondback moth), 578 nucleotides long. NCBI's taxonomy places the organism in Eukaryota, Metazoa, Arthropoda, Insecta, Lepidoptera, Plutellidae. The record is from RefSeq and is a predicted model, not a curated record.
AUUUAGGUGCGCAAAUCUCAGAUAUUAUAAGAUUUUAGUGUUUAUAAAAAAAUAUGUUCUUAUAAUUGAUAUACUCUAUUUUACGAAACGGGUUUCUAUGGGUCCGAAAUCCUAUACAAAACUAAGAAAAUAAAUAAACUGUUCUCUUUAAAAAAAAACACGAUUUUCGUGGUCUUCGUAAUUCUUUAGCGGCAAGUAAUAGGGUUUAUUUUUCAACUGUCUUAUCCCGUACUGUUACAAUGAAUUUUCAAAAAACAAAUCAGUCUGCGCCACGGCGCCUUUGUGGGUGGGUGGACCUGUGUCGGUUUUUCUCCGCCGCUCAAAGUGAAAACAUCGCUGUACAGAUACGAAUAGUUAUUUCCUUGCUCUUGAGACUUGAAUCUUCAUUGAUUACGAAAAAUAUAAAUGGGACGGUAUAAGAAGUUUGGAGUAACUCGAAAAAUGAUUAAUGCAAAUAGACGUAAUGCGCAAAUACGUAGAACGGUCAUAAUCGCGAGUAACCAAAAAAACACCCAGUCUGAUGAAAUAGAUAUUCAGGAACAACUUUGUUUAUCUGGAGACACUAACGUAUAUUACUA